GACGAACGCUGGCGGCGUGCUUAACACAUGCAAGUCGAACGGAAAGGCCCUGCUUUUGUGGGGUGCUCGAGUGGCGAACGGGUGAGUAACACGUGAGUAACCUGCCCUUGACUUUGGGAUAACUUCAGGAAACUGGGGCUAAUACCGGAUAGGAGCUCCUGCUGCAUGGUGGGGGUUGGAAAGUUUCGGCGGUUGGGGAUGGACUCGCGGCUUAUCAGCUUGUUGGUGGGGUAGUGGCUUACCAAGGCUUUGACGGGUAGCCGGCCUGAGAGGGUGACCGGCGACAUAGUGACAGAGAGACGGACCAGAGUCUUAUGGGAGGCAGAAGAGGGGAAAAUUGCACAAGGGGCGGAAGCGUGAGGCAGAAACGCGGCGUGCGGGAUAACGGGGUUCGGGUGGUAAACAGCUUUCGCGUGUGAGGAAGAGUGAGUGACGGUAAAAGGUAAAGAAGAACAGGCUAAAUACGUG
This 468-nucleotide ribosomal RNA is filed under the name uncultured bacterium. Its description in RNAcentral is "partial 16S ribosomal RNA". It matches the Rfam family "Bacterial small subunit ribosomal RNA", at positions 28 to 507 of the family's 1533-position model. The record is from RNAcentral.